AAUUAUCCCUCACUCAGCCUCACGUUCUUCUUCUUCUCUCAAACCCCUCACUAAGCCUCACGUUCUUCUUCUUCUCUCAAACAAAAACCCUCACCAAAAACUGCUCCGCCGCGCCUGAGGCCGCGGAGCCCACCCUAUCUCCAAAUUUUCUCCACUACCUUAAUCGCAUUGCCCUCCCGAAUCCAUUUCCGACCUUAUUUUUCCUCAAUUCCCCGUCUAUCCUCUAACUCUCAACAGAUCAUAAUAUAUCAAAACCCUAAAAGCUAAAUCGAAUGGCCCUCGUGCUCAAUUGAACCUUAGAACCUUGGGGAUUCUACUCAGUGAAGCAAAAUCUACAUCGUAAUAUCAAGAAAGUGGAAGAAGAUGAAGAGGAAAGGAACGUUUGAAGAUUUACCUGGAUUUGAAGGCGCGCGUGAAAAGAAUAGAAUACCAGAGGGGAGGCUCCGACCAGCUUGAUGCGAAGAAGGCGCGGAAUAAACGCGGAGUCCUUGAGAUAGAUUUCAAUUUGAAACCGCUACAAAAACGGCGACGACAAGUACCUCAGGGAGAAUGGUUGAAGUGAAGGAGAAUGGUUAAAGUGAAGGAGAAUGGUUGAAGAGAUUGGAAGGUAGCAGGUGAUAGAAAAUGGUGGAGAGAAGAGAGAAUGGUGUGAAGAUGAUGAUGGUCUAGAGUGUGUUGAGACAUAACUGGUGAAGAAGCUGAAUGAAGGUGGAGGUUCUGAUUUUAUAACAAUGAAGGGACUGAUUUAGUGAUGUAUUUUCUGCUUGACCGGUUGUACAUAAAUGCAUAUGUUGAACUGGACAUGUAUAUAAUGUAAGCUGAAUGCUGGGAAUUGGAUAUGUCCAGACACAAGCUUAAGGUGGGUACACGAUGCUAUGUUUUUUGGAUUGAAGUUAGGUGCAAUGUUCUGUAGGUUUUUUUCUUUGUUGGCAAGUUCAUAAAAAGGUAGAGGGAAUGAAGCUGAAUUGGUACCGAGUUUGAAGAUGAAGAGGCAAAGUCUAUUGGACUUGAGUUGAAGAUUUGAGAUUAGGAUAGGUCUAGAGAUUUGUCUCUUAUUUUUUUGUUAUAAAGAAUUUUGUAAGGAUUGUAAUGGAUAGACUUUAUGGAUGAAUGGACCUUUGGGUAUGUAAUGAAUUCUUGGAUUUUCUUAAGUAUGAAUAUGCUGACCUUUUUUCAU
Long non-coding RNA from Vicia villosa (hairy vetch), 1177 nucleotides. RefSeq lists it as uncharacterized. The transcript is spliced from 5 exons. NCBI's taxonomy places the organism in Eukaryota, Viridiplantae, Streptophyta, Magnoliopsida, Fabales, Fabaceae. The record is from RefSeq and is a predicted model, not a curated record.